AACGAACGCUGGCGGCAUGCCUAACACAUGCAAGUCGAACGAGACCUUCGGGUCUAGUGGCGCACGGGUGCGUAACGCGUGGGAACCUGCCCUUAGGUUCGGAAUAACUCCCCGACAGGGGUGCUAAUACCGGAUAAUGUCUUCGGACCAAAGAUUUAUCGCCUUUGGAUGGGCCCGCGUUGGAUUAGCUAGUUGGUAGGGUAAAAGCCUACCACGGCGACGAUCAAUAGCUGGUCUGAGAGGAUGAUCAGCGACACUGGGACUGAGACACGGCCCAGACUCCUACGGGAUGCAGCAGUGGGGAAUAGUGGACAAUGGGCGAAAGCCUGAUCCAGCAAUGCCGCGUGAGUGAUGAAGGCCUUAGGGUUGUAAAGCUCUUUUACCCGUGAUUAUAAUGACAGUACCGGGAGAAUAAGCUCCGGCUAACUCCGUG
This 433-nucleotide ribosomal RNA is filed under the name uncultured bacterium. Its description in RNAcentral is "partial 16S ribosomal RNA". It matches the Rfam family "Bacterial small subunit ribosomal RNA", at positions 29 to 507 of the family's 1533-position model. The record is from RNAcentral.